AAAUGGCAGGACUUUCACAAGAAGAUCGCAACAUUAUCAAGAACCAUCCUCUAACCAAUUCAGAUAGAAGCGAAGGAGAGGACAGAGGUAGUAAGGGAGAUGGGGAUCUUCCAAUCAUGAUUCGCUUGCUACCUCUCGCCCUACAGCUGCUUGACCAACUGUUGUGCUUUACGUUAUCAUUGGCUCAUGUCGGACCGUGACUCUAACCGCAUCUGCAACACAACGGGUUGGUUUCCAAGGUUGGCCUACAUUAAUCCUAAAUGGAAAUAGCCGAUGUUCUCAAAUACGAUUUCAAUUCCCCCUAUUUUGUUCGAGCUUAUUACCAUUCUGUCGCAAUUGAAUAGGACUAAUCUCCACCCAGUUCAUUGCUCGGCGGCUCUAUUUGUUCUUUCAUUCAUGUACUGCAUCAAAGCCAAGCCGGAUCAACCCUUUUGCCAUAAUCCUCCCUUUGAUUAUAUAUACCAGCAUUCGUUCCCAGCGAGCUAUCUUCUCUCGCAGAUAUCAUACAUCAUAACUUGCUAACAAUUCUGCAGUUUGCUUCCCAUUCAUCAUAUAUGGCUGAGCUUUCGGACCACGAUUGCGAUAUCAUCGCAAACCAUCCUCUAAGCGACUCACUAUACCGAUUACAAAUCAUGUCCGUUUCGCCCAUUUUUCUUAUCAAGCGAUUGAUGCCAGAUAGAUCACCAAACCGGAUUCCGUCCCUUGUCCAUAUUUGUAAAUCUAUGUAACAUGAGAGUAUCGACUGGCGAUAGAUAUUCAAAGAAAAAAGAAAAAUACAUGAAAAAAUGAAGGAUGAAGAAAAUUGAAACUGUAGGCAUUAGAGAGAAACUGGAUUGUGGGGAGGACACCAGCGUGGUUGAAAUGGAAUAGGGAAUCAGGGGGAAGGAUAAAAUAUACAUCCAAAUAAAAAAAUAAAAAAUAGAGGACAAUGUCGCGCAAACUGGGGAAAACCCCCUGGCCCGAACCCAUCACAACAAUGUAUGCUCUCAUGCCAUAGAAAGAAAGGAGGAGGUGAGUUAUAUUUAUACAGAAUACCUUCUUUGUUUCCCCUCAAAAGGAUCAAACACCAUCUCCAAGCUUUUGUCUCAAAGCUGGAAAUUAAAGUCAUAUCCCAUACUGUUAGCAUCCGGGCGAACAUCUUUGAUGGGAUGGAAAAGUAUUGACGGCAGGAUGACACGUCCGUGUAUGAAUUCGUACUGUAAAAGGCAAGUUAAGUCAAAUUCGUUAGUACAGUACAAAAGGAGAGAGGGGGAGACUAAUUGAAGAGAGAGAGAAAAAAAAGUGGAGGGGGGGAGAGAGGGAAAGAAAUUAAAAAGACUCACAACUCGACCGCCCGUCCAAUCCUUCUGCCACCCCAAAAAAUUCCAAUACAACCUCCCCGCCAAAUUCGCCCGAUAAUACCACGACAAAUCCAAAAACCUCGACUCCCUCUUCCACCCAAAUGGACUAUCCUGAGAGCUGCCCGAGCGCCCAUUAAUUCCCGGAUUAAACCAGCGAUCUGUACUUUUCGCAGGAAGAUCUUUAUCAGAGUAGAUGGGAUGCGGCGCCGCGACGGCCUUGAAACCAUGCAGCAACGCAGUAGAGACGGGUAACAGCUCCGAGGACAUGUGUCUGCCGAACAUGUUCUCCCGAUCCAUCGCGAGAAGCAACCGUCUGGAUAAGCGCGAGUGCGUGAUCAGAGACGCGCGACGUGGCGUUGCUUGGCCGAGGUAGCCGUAGAUUUCGUUGCGGAUGACCCACUCCGUGCCGAUAGGGUGGAAGAUGGGGAGGAAGCCAAUGUAAUCUGCAUCUUCGCCGACGCCCCAUUUGUAAUCCGUGUCUUUGUCUGGCGAGCCUACAGGCGGUGAGGGCCCAAUGGGCCGCGGGUGCGGAUGGUCGAUGGGCACAGCGCCCCAGACAGCUUCGUUUUCAAAGCGUUGUACAAAGGUGCGGAAGGCGUGGUUGUAGCUACCGUGCAGGGCGGGGAUGUAGAAACGGGCGUUCCGUUCCCAGAGGCCCCGGCGCGGUUGGGAGCGGGCGAAGAUGUCAAGUUUGUUGGUGAAUUCAUAGUGGUGGCCUGUGAAGCGGGAGUCGAGUUCCCAGUUCCAGAUGAAUUUGUAUUGUGGGUGAGUAAGGGCAAAAUGUUGGACGGAGAGCCACUGGGAGCGAUGGACGCUGUGUAAGUACAAGGCUAGUUAGUGAUUCACGAGGGUUUUUCUUUUGGAUGCACAAAUACAAAAUGAGUUGACAUAAAAGCUCACUCGGUAAGUUUCAUCUUCACAAGGCGUGGGUAGCGCUUUGACACAACAGGAAUAUUCCAUAGAACAGUCAUAUCCCAGAAUUCCUUAGGCACAUUCUCUUCCACAACUUGCUGGUAUACCUCAUCCUUCUCGAUCUCAAUCUCCUCGUCCUUCACGUGCAGGAGUAGGAUGACCGAAUACUCGCCCCCAGACUGCAGCGAUAGCUCCGAAACCAGCGAACGGAUCGUUUGCAUGUCAUUAUCGGAAUACGUUUUCCCAACAUAUGUGCGAAUAAGGACAGCUGUACGGGCCUCGGGCUCGAUCUGGCGCCUCGGGGAAUCUUGCGGCAAAUCCGCAAGCAGGGACAGAUCCGCCGAGAAUCUAUCUGCGUUUUUCAGGAAGCAUUGCUCUUGCAAUUUACCCCAGUUGACCUUGUCCCAUUGGACCUUGGCCGGUUUCUUCCAAUUUUUAACAAAUGAGUCAUUCUCUCCAUAGCCAUACGCGCCGUAUCUCGUAUAGCGGUCGAAGAAGACAUCUCCAUUAAAUCCUACAGCUUCGUGAGAGCCAAACAUGGGUUUAGGGAACCCUAUUUGAAUAAAAUCACGUUAGCCUGGAAGAAUAAACGGGACAGAGUAAAUGUAAAUAGUAUAUACCGAGAUCGCCUAAAUAAACGCCAACCUGGUCAUCCAGAUUUUUUGAUAUGGGUUUUCCCCUCGGCCCCUCACACGGGUUGAAUCUUCCACGAUGGGAACUUUUCCAGCGAAGACUCUCAUAAUUUGGGUAAGGACGGUAUAUCUUGGGGAUGUCAGGUGCGCUCUUGGCCUCGAAGCGAGGGUCAUCUACGACUUCUGAGUUGCUGUAGUGUUCGGGAGUGGUGAGAUGGGAUAGAGUCGAGACGAAUUUCCUGAAUACGCUAUGGAGUAGCAAAACGAUUCAGAGUCAGUACACCAACUGUUUUGGGAUAAUUUAACCAAAGGGCGUAUUGAUGAUAGAUAUGGAUAGCUAUAGAACGGACCUGGGAUACUGGCGAGAUUCCGUAAAAUAUUGUUGUUGCU
Molecule: small RNA, 3274 nt
Filed under: Histoplasma capsulatum
Lineage: Eukaryota; Fungi; Ascomycota; Eurotiomycetes; Onygenales; Ajellomycetaceae
Also listed under: 1 other name
Description: hypothetical RNA
Source: RNAcentral